Aedes albopictus (Asian tiger mosquito) is the source of this 72-nucleotide non-coding RNA. The record is from Rfam. Lineage: Eukaryota; Metazoa; Arthropoda; Insecta; Diptera; Culicidae.
GGCUCGCUAGCUUAGUUGGUAAAGCACUUGUCUAGCGAAUAAGGGUCGUGAGUUCAAAUCUCACCUGAGCUG